RNAcentral lists this ribosomal RNA (253 nucleotides) under uncultured bacterium. RNAcentral describes it as "partial 16S ribosomal RNA". It matches the Rfam family "Bacterial small subunit ribosomal RNA", at positions 524 to 776 of the family's 1533-position model. The record is from RNAcentral.
UACAGAGGUCUCAAGCGUUGUUCGGAUUCAUUGGGCGUAAAGGGUGUGUAGGUGGCGCCGUAAGUCGGGUGUGAAAUUUCGGAGCUUAACUCCGAAACUGCAUUCGAUACUGCGGUGCUUGAGGACUGGAGAGGAGACUGGAAUUCAUGGUGUAGCAGUGAAAUGCGUAGAGAUCAUGAGGAAGACCAGUGGCGAAGGCGGCUCACUGGCCCGGUACUGACGCUGAGGUGCGAAAGCGUGGGGAGCAAACAGG